AAACCAAUCUGAUGGACAGAUCAUCCUGAGGAGCAAUGAAGAAGGGGCAAGAGAAUCCUGGCAGUUCUGGAAGCUGAGCAGAACUCUGAAGCAACUGCCAAGGGACUUCCAGCCUGGGAAAGAGAGGAGAAGCAGGGUUGAGCAGGAAAGUGCUCAACCAUAUUUCUCUGCCUGUUGGGGACCUGUCUCUAUCCAGAGAUCCUCAAUAACUCUGCUGGGAUUGGUCAACAGCUUCUCAGGAGGGAUACAUAUGUAGUUCAUCUCAUUUUAGGGAAAAAUUCAACUAAAUACUCCAAUAAACCAAUAUGGCUGAGUUCUUUCUCUGGAUGUGGAUAAUAUUCCUUCUCAUAAAUUCCUUCUGGAUUGUUCUGGGUCAUUGCAUUGCUGCUAGUAGAGAAGUCUAUCACAUUUGAUUAUACCAUAGUCUCUGUGUACAAUGUUCUCCUGGUUCUGCUCCUUUCACUCUGCAUCACUUCCUGACGGUCCUUCCACUUCACAUGGAAUUCCUCCAGUUCAUCAUUCCUUUCAGCACAAUAGUAUUCCAAGUAUUCCAUCACCAAAAUAUGCCACAAUUUGUUCAGCCAUUCAAUUAGGGUUGUUCUUGUACUUUAGAGACAGAUGAUGGGAAUGCCAUGCCAUGGUGAACUUAGAGCAAGGAUGAGAGUCACAAUUGCCUGUCAACUUGACACAAAGGGGAAAAAAGAAUUGAGGACAUUAUUGACCUAAAAAUAUGUAAGGACUUUUUUUGCCUUCAUUUGUCAGACAGAGUAUGAAAGGAAGUAAUGAGUAAGAAGACUGGAAAGACAUGAAGAAUACCUUUAAAUGCCAUUCUUUUAAUAUAGUGAGUACGGACACAAUUAUAAUUAGUAAUAGUAGGAAUAAGAGAAAGACACAGUCAUGUUGAAUCACUGUAAAUAGAGGCUAGUGAAGCCUGGGAAGUGGUCUGGUUCACUCCAAGUUGUUGUGUUUUACAUUAGCACAUGGAACAAAUUCACAAUUUUUGUUAAAUCAUGGAUUUUAAAAAUAUUUGUAGAAACUUUAAUUUAGGUUUCUCUUGUUUUUAAUGAUAUCACAUAGAGCAAUUUGAGGUUAUUGAGGAUACAUAGUGGAUGCUACUUUAAUCCAUAUGCCAUGAUAAUUGUAAUGAAAUGUAGAAGAUAAAUACAAACCAAGCUCAGAUGGGUUUAUAUUUAUACUUGCUCUCAGAAUGGAAACUGUUUUCUCAAAUCCCUUGUAGUUCAGGAAGUAACUUGAAAAAUACAUGAUUUGCUGGUAAUUCUAGGAAGUGAUGUGCCAACUUUGAGAACAAGGGAGUUAAAAUGCUUCUCUUAUAUAACUAUUAAGAGGAUUAUACUUUUCAAAAUGAAGGCUGAUUAUCUUGCUGUAUUUACUGGAGCAUCACUCGACAGAUGUAGCUGAUUUAACAAAUCUGAACUCUAGAAAAAAAUAACAUUAAUAUAGCACCUGGGAACUUCCCUUUUUAUAUGAACCUCCUGCCCCAAGAAAUUUUACUCCAUAUAUAAAGAUCUUUUGCAGUUCCAUUUAUACCUCCGACAAAUCAUAGCCCAUGACUGAUCUAUUUACUUUCACUUUUUAGUCAGAGGGUACCAUGAGUUCCAGCUGAAGGCUUUUUAUGGAAUAUCAUAAGCAAAGUAGAACUAGAAAAUUUCCUCACUAUCCCUGGAGCACAUUAUCCCACUAAUUCACAAAUCAUCAGUGAGAAGAUCAGACAUAUAGAAAGAUUCUAUGUGGGGGGCACCUACACCAAAAGAACAUAUGUGGCCGGGACACCCAAGUGGAAACAAUUCACAAAGAUAAACUUACUUCUGAGAUGUGUGGAAGAGUAAGCUGUGCUUGACUACAGCUUUGAAUCUAGUCAUUGUACCAUUCCUGCAGGUUACUGUACUCAGCCAGUCUUGUGGAAUAUGGAAUCUACUUGGUGAUGUUCCAAUGGUUCUGUUAGCACUGAGCAGGACUCUGGUUCUCUCAUGAUUAUGGAACUUUUUUCUGCUACUUUCUGUAUUCAGCUAAAAUCUUUAGAUGAGUUGCUACCUUCCCAGUUAUCUUUACAACAUGGUAAAGCUAUCAUCUUCAUUACCCUGCCAUCAGAAACAUGGAUUCUGCCCCUGGAAAGACAGGAUCUCAUCUGAAAUUUUUGCUUCACCUUUACUGGAGCAAGACCUCCAUACCCACUCACAUCCAUAUCCCCUUUCCAUACUCUGUUCAUUACUAUUAUCUCCCUCCUAGAGGAACCAUGAUCUUCCUCUGGGAAGCUAAGUUUGAAUAGGUGAGUUUCCAUCUCAUCUUUUCUAGAACUAGACCUUCAUGUCACUUUCUGGUCAUCUUUACAGAAUGAUGCCAAAUACACAGACCUUUCAACAUUUUCCCCUUGUAAAUUCCCUUCAUGUAUUAUUUUUACCCCCUUAUGGGAGAAAUAUUUUCCCAUUGAAUCUGUGUGAUAGGUAACUGCUGUGAAAUGAAUAUAUCAUAAUGCAAAAAUUAUAGAGGUAAAAUCUUAUGUUUAAGCAUAGGUUAAGAACUCAGAAAAAUAAUUCUGAACCCCAACUGGGGUUUAUACCAAGUUACUUAUGGUGAAAAUAUUAUGUCAGAGAAACAGAGAAUGUUUUUUAAUAAUGUAUAAACAUCUUUAUGGUCUAAACUACAAGGGUCACACAGACCCAGUUAAAUAAUAUCUCAUACUUUCUUAACUUAAAGUUAAACAAGCCAUAUUAGGACAAAUUAGGGAAUAGAUUCAGUUGUAGAUUUAAAUACUGUUUGCAAAAUCUUUUAAUUAUAAAAUUACAAGGCUACAUUUUAAAGAACCCAUAAUGAGCUAAUUGAGAGGAAAGGAUUUACAUAUCACAAAGAAAACGAAAGAUUUAGACAGAGGGAUCUUUCCAUAAAUAGAAUUAGCUAAAUCAUAUUGGGAAGUGUUGUUUUUAUGGAGACUCUAUAUUUCCUUCUUUUUCUUCUAUUUCUGAUUUCAGGAAUAUCAGCAUUUUCCCCUUAACACUAUCAUUCCAUGGCUCUAGUUUUAGCCAUUAAUUAUUUAAUUUAUUAUUGAGGAAAAAGCCAGGUUUUUCUUUCAAUAUAAUCCAUUGUCCACCAUGGGUUCUGAACCAAGAGCUACAGCUGUAAUAGCUAGAGUUCAUGUAGAAGAGAGAAGAUUCAUUUUCAAGAAAGGAGUGAAGAACAAAUAAAUCAAUUAAAAUAAUUCUAAGAUGAAUGGUGGAAGUAUUUACAUGUCAGGAUUUACAGUUUACUAAAGAGUACAGGACAAUUGAUAUUGUUCUUCUGGCUUCUUAUCUAAAGAAUUUUAAGACUAAGUAGAUUUUCACAUUCUAUGGAACAGGUUUCAUUUUCAAAAUAUCCCCAAAUUGGAAUGGAAGGAAAUAAUUGCAGGAAAUUAAAAUCCCCAUAACAUUUCUUUGUUUUAUCAUAAAUUGUAUUUUAUUGAGUUAGUUUUACCUUCAACAAACAUUUGUAGUUGACAAAUAUAAGUAUCAUUUUUUGUCCACUGUUUCAUGGUAUGAAUGGGCACUUCAAAUAGGUAGUGAUUCUUACUACCACAGGACUAAGAUCUCAAACCCUGGUCCAUUGUUAAAGAAGUUUUCUCUUCAAUGAGGUAUAUACCUAUAGAAAUUCAUGUGUUUUAUAAUUAAACUUCCAUAGGCAGAAUUAAAACAAAUCUGGGACUUUCUUCCUAUUUGCCCCUCAGACCAGGAGAAAAGCAUUUUGCUUUAUCUCUAUAACUGAGGUGGUUAGUUUAUUAGGAAAGUGGGAACCAUAAGCCCCAAUUCCAGUUUUCCAGAUCCCAGAGGAAAGUUGAGGAAGAAAAGUCUAGAGGAGACCUCUAAACUAGGCCUAGGGGGUAUAUGAGUG
Non-coding RNA from Monodelphis domestica (gray short-tailed opossum), 3882 nucleotides. The record is from RefSeq and is a predicted model, not a curated record. Lineage: Eukaryota; Metazoa; Chordata; Mammalia; Didelphimorphia; Didelphidae.